Molecule: ribosomal RNA, 254 nt
Filed under: uncultured bacterium
Lineage: Bacteria
Description: partial 16S ribosomal RNA
Rfam family: Bacterial small subunit ribosomal RNA
Source: RNAcentral
UACGUAGGGACCAAGCGUUGUCCGGAAUCAUUGGGCGUAAAGAGCGUGUAGGCGGCUUGUUAAGUCUUGCGUGAAAUCUCGGGGGCUCAACCCCGAGCGGUCGUGAGAAACUGGCAGGCUAGAGUGCGGGAGAGGAGAGUGGAAUUCCUGGUGUAGCGGUGAAAUGCGCAGAUAUCAGGAAGAACACCCGUGGCGAAGGCGGCUCUCUGGAACGCAACUGACGCUGAGACGCGAAAGCGUGGGGAGCAAACAGG